Molecule: long non-coding RNA, 227 nt
Filed under: Setaria italica (foxtail millet)
Lineage: Eukaryota; Viridiplantae; Streptophyta; Magnoliopsida; Poales; Poaceae
Description: long non-coding RNA (SITA_LNC006063)
Source: RNAcentral
GCAACAUCAUCUAAUGGAAUGUUAAUAACCCUCCUCUUAACGAAUGUCCCUUGGUUGUGAUCUCGAUGUAAGUAUGGAGCGUCCUCUUUGGCUAACAGGAUACUUGGUCAACCUCGACUGAAAAUGGAGGAAGAUCAUCAAACUAAUCAUAAUUUUCUGAAAUGUCAGUCUUGUCCUCAACUCCAACGAUUUUCUUUUCCCUGGAAGAACUAUGUGGCGCUUUGGCU